This is a non-coding RNA of Ictalurus furcatus (blue catfish), 422 nucleotides long. NCBI's taxonomy places the organism in Eukaryota, Metazoa, Chordata, Actinopteri, Siluriformes, Ictaluridae. The record is from the annotation of a RefSeq genome assembly.
CAACUGCAACCAUGUUGCUAGUUUAUUUCCUGGUGCUGCUCGUAGCUGCAUCCUUUGUAUUUGGUGCAAUUGAUUUUGCUCAGCCUGGUCAUGUGGUUGUCCAGCCUGGACAGGCUUUGACCAUUGGAUGUAAAGUGUCUGGAUAUAGCUUGACUGAUAGCAGCUAUUGUACAAACUGGAUCCGACAUGCUACAGGGGAAAACAUGCAGUGGAUUGGAUACAUUUGCAGCAGUGGAAGCACAGGGUACACAGAUUCACUAAAAAACAGGUUCAGCAUCACUCAGGACACCUCCAGUAACACAGUGACACUACAAGGUCAAAAUGUGCAGAUGGAAGACACAGCUGUGUAUUACUGUGUGCGAUACCGUAACACAGUGAUAUGUAUCACUUGAGUGCCUGUACAAAAACCCCGCAGAUCGGCC